GGUACUGCUCCAGCGGGAAGGUAACAGCGUUCCAUGCAGUCAUGCCGGCCACAUGACCUUGGAGGUGUCUAUGGACAACGUCAGCUCUUCGGCUUAGAAAUGGAAAUGAGCACCAACCCCCAGAGUCGGACACGACUGGACUUAAUGCCAGGGAAAAACAUUUACCUUUACGUUAUGUGCAGCCCUGGAAGGUAUCCUCUGAGGAUACAGGGGCUGUACUAAAUUUCAUUUGUUUGCCACUCUUCUUCUGGAGUGAGACCCAAGGUAGCUUUCUUUUAGUGCAAAGGAAGUAAUUUCCUCAGACUUAAUUGUUUUAAUGCUCCAGUCCUGAUAAUGUUUCCAUGUCUGAACUAUCCAUUCACUGUUGUUCUUCCUUCAAAUGUUCUGAAUAGUUGUGUAUAGGGGAACUUGUUUACUAUUCAAACCUUUUGGUACCAGUCCAAAUUUUGCAGCCUCCAUUUCUAAAAAAAAAAGUAACGCAGGGCUGCAAACUGUCCCCCUCUGUUAGUCCCAAUUACAUAUGCCUGUAAGUUCUCCUCUUAUUUCUUUGGAGCUGAGCCUUGUUUCAGGAAGGCUUGGCUGAACUUAGCAAACCUUACUAGAGGGGGAACCCUUCCCUGCAAUCCAUUUCAGGUCUAAGCCCCUUUGAUGUCACAGCUGGCUCAAGUCAUCUCAUUUCCUCCAGCUCAAAAUGUGAAGCUGAUGCAAAAUGCUGGCAAGGCCUCUUUCCCUUCCCUUCUCCUUGAAAUGUAGCCAAGUGCACUGUUUGAUUUGGCCUGCACUUAUCCUGAACGUCCAGCUCAGCUUCGUUUUACUAGUCAGCGCCUGAUGCUUCUAGGUCCAGAUCCAGCCAGUAAGGGGACAUCAACUUCUUAUGACUUUUUUUCUUGCAGCAAUAAAACAAAAACGGCUCCAUCUGUUUCCAUUUUUGUCCAUUAUGGGUUUUUACUCCAUCCAGCUCCAAAAUUAGUACAUCGCCUUCAUGCUGCUCCCUAUACUUUUUUUUUUAAAUGGCGUUUGCAGUUACAUCAGAAGCAGAAAUGGAUGGAAGUAGAGAGCCUGAGAGAUGACACUGGAGAAGUUACAGAAGGUUGCUUCCUCACCGCAUCUUAGCAGAUCCAAGCUGGAACUGACAAGAUUUUGCAGAAAGAGAUUUCAGAAAGUUCCUGAGCACAAUGAAUGGAGGGAGCUAAACAAGCUAAGCCAAUGUUAGUUCUGGGAUACAUCUGCACUGUUGAAUUAAUGCAGUUUGAUCCUGCUUUUACUACCAUGGCUCAAUGCUAUGGGAUCCUGGGACCUAUAGUUUUUCCAAGAUAUUUAGCCUUCCCUGCUGAAAUGGAAUGAAGAGAAAAGUUAUCCCCAAAUGUGUCAGCCUUGUGUUUUGUUGCAAUAUGGAGCUCUACUUGAAAGCAGUAAGAUGAUAUCCAAACUUACCCUAUAAAGAAGUGAAAUCUU
Anolis carolinensis (green anole) is the source of this 1455-nucleotide long non-coding RNA. RefSeq lists it as uncharacterized. The record is from RefSeq and is a predicted model, not a curated record. Lineage: Eukaryota; Metazoa; Chordata; Lepidosauria; Squamata; Anolidae. The transcript is spliced from 2 exons.